Molecule: ribosomal RNA, 438 nt
Filed under: uncultured Bacillota bacterium
Lineage: Bacteria; Bacillati; Bacillota
Description: bacterial SSU rRNA
Rfam family: Bacterial small subunit ribosomal RNA
Source: RNAcentral
GGGCCCGCACAAGCAGUGGAUUAUGUGGUUUAAUUCGAAGCAACGCGAAGAACCUUACCAGGGCUUGACAUCCAACGAACGGGGCAGAGAUGCCCUGGUGCCCUUCGGGGAGCGUUGAGACAGGUGGUGCAUGGUUGUCGUCAGCUCGUGUCGUGAGAUGUUGGGUUAAGUCCCGCAACGAGCGCAACCCUUAUUGCUAGUUGCUACGCGAGAGCACUCUAGCGAGACUGCCGUUGACAAAACGGAGGAAGGUGGGGACGACGUCAAAUCAUCAUGCCCCUUAUGUCCUGGGCUACACACGUAAUACAAUGGCGUUUAACAGAGGGAAGCAAGACCGCGAGGUGGAGCAAAUCCCUAAAAGGCGUCUCAGUUCGGAUCGCAGGCUGCAACCCGCCUGCGUGAAGUCGGAAUUGCUAGUAAUCGCGGAUCAGAAUGCCG